Scleropages formosus (Asian bonytongue) is the source of this 654-nucleotide long non-coding RNA. RefSeq lists it as uncharacterized. The transcript is spliced from 3 exons. Lineage: Eukaryota; Metazoa; Chordata; Actinopteri; Osteoglossiformes; Osteoglossidae. The record is from RefSeq and is a predicted model, not a curated record.
UCGGCUUGUUCCUCAGUCCCUGGGAGGCAAGAGGGAAAAAAAAAAUCAGUGAGAGGAACGGCGCUCCCUCGUGGCUGUGAUGCCUCAUGGUUUCCAUUAGCAAUUACAUGCAGGGGGAGUCUUGACAACUUCGCUGUCAGCAGUACCUGCUGGGACCGACUUCACUUAGCGUCCGUCACCCUUCGACAAACUGGUUUUCGACAAGGCCAAACCAUCCCGACCCAGUCUCUGCGCGCACCUUUUUUUAGGAGCAGAAAAAGGUUUUCUGCGGAGCAUCGCACGCCGGCAGCGCCCUCCCAGGGCCCGGUAAGGAGGGAGGCCGAUGCCUGUACCCUGCUUUUCAGACACUUUUGUCUGAAAUGCUCUUUGGCACUGAUCCGUGUCCUUUUUUUUACGACGCCGGUGAGUUUCUGCGGUUAGAAGCACUCUUGCGGGACACAACACUAUAUCUACCGUCAGACUCCAAAACCAAUUACAUGACAGGUAAGAAAUCAAGCGCAGCAGGACUGCUUUUCCUUAAAGCCGUCCAAGAGGGCACCUGGAGUGUGUGGAGUUCUGCUUUGUCCAGUAUGACCAUGUGUUGCUCCCCUUGUUAAAGGGAGAAUCAGUAUUUGAUAAAGGCUUUUUGAUUUUUUUUGGGGGGGCGGGGGGGGG